RNAcentral lists this long non-coding RNA (284 nucleotides) under Serinus canaria (Common canary). RNAcentral describes it as "Prostate androgen-regulated transcript 1 conserved region 2 (ENSSCAG00000009452.1)". It matches the Rfam family "Prostate androgen-regulated transcript 1 conserved region 2". The record is from RNAcentral. Lineage: Eukaryota; Metazoa; Chordata; Aves; Passeriformes; Fringillidae.
AUGCAUGCUGGGCUAUAAUUUAUGAAACAGAGCCCAGGAAACAACCAAUCGCUCAGCUUCUCCUAACAAGUCCAACUGGCUAUGAAAAGCUGGAAGUGCUGCACAGAACAAUGAAGAGGAGCUAUCCCACAUAUUAAUCUGCUUAUCUGGGAUUGCCUUCUGUGUAGAGAGAGGGAAGCAUGUAAAAAGGAGAGGGGAAAACAAAGGAAAAUCACAAUUUCAUUUGUUAAAAGAACAGGGUAAAUUCCAGUCAACAUGAAAAUCCUCCAUUGCAGUCUGAUGGC